AUGUUCAUACUAAAUUUGAAACGGGUCAAUCCGCAAGCUUCUGAUCCUCGGUUCAUUUUUGAACUAUAUCCAUGUGUUCUAUCAAGGAUCAUUUUGGCGCAUAUGGAAAAGACAAGCAAUUUUGUUACCAGAAUUAUCAUAUUUGUAAGGUCAAUCACCCAUGGGUUCUGCACUUCACUAGAAAUAAUUUGUACCCUUGACCUGAUAAGUUGUUGUUGUAUUAUGAAUUAUUCAAAGUAUGAGACCAAAUUUAUUGUUUUAGUUUCAUACAAUUUUUUGUUUUUUGAUAAAUGGAGAUUGUCAUUGUCUUCCGUUUGCAUGCCAGAAUUUAGCGGUUCAAUGUAA
Molecule: ribosomal RNA, 345 nt
Filed under: Triticum aestivum (bread wheat)
Lineage: Eukaryota; Viridiplantae; Streptophyta; Magnoliopsida; Poales; Poaceae
Description: partial small subunit ribosomal RNA
Source: RNAcentral